CUCACUAUGGUGCCCAGGCUGGUCUUGAGCUCCUGCACUCAAGUGAUCCUCCUUCCUUGAGCUCCCAAAGUGCUAAGAUUACAGUCAUGAGCCUCUGUGUCUAGCCUCUCUUAAUUUUUAAAUCAUAAUUAUAUGAUCAAAAAAUUAUUGCCAAGUUUUAUGUUUAUCACUGCAUGAUAGUCUAUCUUAUGGAUGUAGCAUAAAGUUUUUACCAUUUUUCUAUUCUAUAUCUAGGUUGUUAUAAAAAUUAUAAUUAUAGAGAGCACAGUGUAAUGGGCAUAUUUAAACUAGAAGUAGAAUUAUUGGGCCAAUAGCCAUAGAAACAUUUUGAAGGUCUUUGAUACAUGUUGACAAAUUCCUUUUCAGAAAGCUUACAAGUUUCUGCACUGUCACUGGUGCUGCCUCGGAUGGCUCAUUUCACCACAGUCUUGCUGCAGUGAAGUAUUAAUUUUAAGUAAGCUGUAAUUCUUAUGGUUAAAAAAAUCACCAUUCCAGUUUUUAUUUUUUUUGUGCUUUGAUUUGCAUGUUCUCUAUAUUAAUAGCAUAUAUUACCAAUAUUUACUAUUUACUUAAUGACUACUAAGAAGUAAGCACAUCACAUAAAGAAUCUCUUCUAAAUCUAUGCAACAAUUUUUUCAAGGUAAGUUCUAGUGUUCUCCUAUUUACAGAUGAGAAAACUGAAGCCUAAAGAAGUUCAGUAUCCUGUCCAAGGUUAUACAUGGAAGACUCAGGUUCCAGAGUCUGGCUCUUCCUUUUGGAUACUGUUACUUCACUUUCUCUAUCACAAUUUUGCAAGAAUUUUUUUUCCCCUAACUUGUCAGUUAUCAUAUUACAGAAAGAUUAUCUCUUCACAGGUUCAUGGGUCUUUCCCACUAGCUAGAUUGUAAACUUCUUAUGGUUGAAAUAAAUCACUGUAUCACUUGCAUCUUACGUGGUGCCCAGACAAAAUAUAUAUUCCAUAAAUAUUUGUCAAACUGAAUUAUUUGCUCUCAUGUUGAUACCGAUAUCUUGGCGGCCAAAUUCAUUGUCUGAUGGACUAUUAUAUACAUUAUGAUGUUCUUUUACCCCAAUUAGAUGUUAUAAAAUAAACAGGCUAAUUACAUUAGAUCAUCUUACUUGGUCAAUUUAUGUUUUCCACAAGUAGAUAGCAAUGAUUCAUGGUUCAUAAUCAUGAUUGAAAACAACUAUCACUGGGUUCCAUCAUCCUCCAAAAUGAUAAGAUCCUGGAUAACCUGGGUAGAAAAUUAUUCACAGCACUGUCCAAUCCUAUUCUUUGUUACUUGAAUUUGGCCAAAAGUACAGAAGUUGUUGGUUAUCAGUCCAACUGUUCCUUGAAAAAUAGUUGUGGAAAUAAACUAAAUUUACUUACUGAAGUCAAGGUCCAUGUACAACUUUCAUGACCUUUCUUAUAUAUUAGUCACUUUGAAAAUAAGAUCCAAAGCUGUGCUUAAGAGGAAAUUAAGUUUACAUAAUAAUACAUUGAACUAGUGAUUCAUUUUAGAGUUCUAGAUUUGAAAGGCUGCAUUAUACAGUCUUAAAAUUCACUGUAAAUUGGCCCAGUUUUUAACUUUGUCACUUUUCUGAAUGCCAGAUUCUACCUGCUCCUUCUAUGGAAUAAUAGGAAUUCUAUGGAAUAAUCAAAAAAGUUCUGAUUAGAUUCAUAAAAGGAAGGCUUUCCAAUCUGCAUGUGUUCUGUUUGUGGGUACAGUUAUAUCUCCUUGGAAACAGGAAGGAUGAUGCCCAUAUAUAUUUGCACAAUGAAAUAGCUACUAGGUUAACAAAUGAGUUCUCUUAGAUGCUUACUAAAAUUUGUGUGUAUAUGCUUUCUAAAGCAAAUCAAAAUUAAAUAAGCAAGACUCUUUUCUUUCCUGGUGGGACCCCUAGCUACCUUGGGGACAGACUGACAGAACUGCUAGCUUCAGCCUAGGGAU
This 1931-nucleotide long non-coding RNA is filed under the name Homo sapiens (human). Its description in RNAcentral is "HSALNT0016710". Lineage: Eukaryota; Metazoa; Chordata; Mammalia; Primates; Hominidae. The record is from RNAcentral.